UGCCCUUGGUCCAAUCUACCGAGCUCCUUCGUGGUAUGCGAGAAUUGGGCGCCACCUCAAGGCUGUGGAGACAGCCCCUGCCCUUGGGGUAUUACCCACACCCUGGCAAGAGAAGAUGUAUGCCAGUUGCCCACAAGACCAGUUGUGUGGAACAAGCAUACGUGAGAGGAGGCACUAAGUGUUGAAAGUGACGAAAUCUGCAAACACUUGACUUAAUUUGAGUGACCGUGUUUUUGUAGCCAAUACCAAGAACCCUCUUCUACUCAACUUUUGUCUCAAAAGAAAGGAAUUCAGCCAAAUCACAUGGAUCUGAUCAUAACACCCAUUACUGAAACAAAACUGGAAUGAUCUUAACUUUGAAAAUAGCCAUCUGAAUUUGACAAAAGAUGACUCAACACCCUAAUUUUUAAAACCUGGAGUCCCCGCUCUGUCCCGCCCCAGAAGGGUGGUGGCAGCACGGCCUGGACUUCUCUGAACUGCAGGCAGGCCGGGGGCUGGACUGCAGGGAAUCAAGAAAAUGGACUCCCUUCUCCUGGGGACAUGAAUGCCAGCCACCAGCCAAGGGUGCCAGAGUUUGCAGUCUUUUGGAGGAAAAUGAUGUUUCAAGUUUCACAAUAAGAAAGAAAAGUGUGUGUCACAGUGUCAGCUCCUGCACUGGGCAGUGCUGUGGAUGGACAGAGCUGCAGAAGGAGCCCUUUUCAGAGCAGCUCUCAAGAGGCCACACAACCACAACUGUUACUGAGGAGCCUUGGAGGGAACUGAAGAUAAAGACCAAUAUGUAAUUUAGGAUUGGAAGACAUCCUUUGAUAUCUCACUACAGCGGCAAAGAUCAACCUGUGUGGGUGGAAACAGCCCGGAAGGCACCAUGGUCCAGGCCUGUCUGGACUUGAAGGGA
Molecule: long non-coding RNA, 895 nt
Filed under: Rhinolophus ferrumequinum (greater horseshoe bat)
Lineage: Eukaryota; Metazoa; Chordata; Mammalia; Chiroptera; Rhinolophidae
Description: lncRNA (ENSRFEG00010016942.1)
Source: RNAcentral